AUACGUGGCACACGGCUCAGUAACACGUAGUCAACAUGCCCAGAGGACGUGGAUAACCUCGGGAAACUGAGGAUAAACCGCGAUAGGCCAUAAUUACUGGAAUGUGUUAUGGCUUAAACCUAUAUGGCCUCUGGAUUGGACUGCGGCCGAUCAGGCUGUUGGUGAGGUAAUGGCCCACCAAACCUGUUACCGGUACGGGCUCUGAGAGGAGGAGCCCGGAGAUGGGCACUGAGACAAGGGCCCAGGCCCUAUGGGGCGCAGCAGGCGCGAAACCUCUGCAAUAGGCGAAAGCCUGACAGGGUUACUCUGAGUGAUUCCCGCUAAGGGGAUCUUUUGGCACCUCUAAAAAUGGUGCAGAAUAAGGGGUGGGCAAGUCUGGUGUCAGCCGCCGCGGUAAUACCAGCACCCCGAGUGGUCGGGACGAUUAUUGGGCCUAAAGCAUCCGUAGCCGGUCAUGCAAGUCCUCCGUUAAAUCCACCUGCUUAACAGAUGGGCUGCGGAGGAUACUACAAGGCUAGGAGGCGGAAGAGGCAAGCGGUACUCAGUGGGUAGGGGUAAAAUCCUCUGAUCCAUUGAAGACCACCAGUGGCGAAGGCGGCUUGCCAAUACGCGCUCGACGGUGAGGGAUGAAAGCUGGGGGAGCAAACCGGAUUAGAUACCCGGGUAGUCCCAGCUGUAAACGAUGCAGACUCGGUGAUGGGCCGGCUUUAU
Molecule: ribosomal RNA, 711 nt
Filed under: uncultured archaeon
Lineage: Archaea
Description: bacterial SSU rRNA
Rfam family: Archaeal small subunit ribosomal RNA
Source: RNAcentral